RNAcentral lists this ribosomal RNA (253 nucleotides) under uncultured bacterium. Its description in RNAcentral is "partial 16S ribosomal RNA". It matches the Rfam family "Bacterial small subunit ribosomal RNA", at positions 524 to 776 of the family's 1533-position model. The record is from RNAcentral.
GACGAGGGGUCCAAGCGUUGCUCGGAAUCAUUGGGCGUAAAGCGGAUGUAGGUGGUUCUAUAAGUCGGGAGUGAAAGCCCUGGGCCUAACCCAGGAAGUGCUUUCGAUACUGCAGAACUUGAGUGUGGGAGAGGAUGGUGGAAUACCUGGUGUAGUGGUGAAAUACGUAGAUAUCAGGUGGAACUCCGGUGAGGAAGCUGGCUGUCUGGCCCAACACUGACACUGAGAUCCGAAAGCGUGGGGAUCAAACAGG